UUCCACCGGAGCUUGCUCCACCGGAGAAUGAGGAGUGGGGAAGGGGUGAGUGGCACGUGGGUAACGUGCCCAUCAGAAGGGGAUAACACUUGGAAACAGGUGCUAAUACCGUAUAACAAUCAAAAGCGCAUGGUUUUGAUUUGAAAGGCGCUUUCGGGUGUCGCUGAUGGAUGGACCCGCGGUGCAUUAGCUAAUUGGUGAGUUGACGGCUCACCGAGGCCACGAUGCAUAGCCGACCUGAGAGGGUGAUCGGCCACAUUGGGACUGAGACACGGCCCAAACUCCUACGGGAGGCAGCAGUAGGGAAUCUUCGGCAUUGGACGAAAGUCUGACCGAGCAACGCCGCAUGAGUGAAGAAGGUUUUCGGAUCGUAAAACUCUGUUGUUAGAGAAGAACAAGGAUGAGAGUAACUGUUCAUCCCUUGACGGUAUCUAACCAGAAAGCCACGGCUAACUACGUGCCAGCAGCCGCGGUAAGACGUAGGUGGCAAGCGUUGUCCGGAUUUAUUGGGCGUAAAGCGAGCGCAGGCGGUUCCUUAAGUCUGAUGUGAAAGCCCCCGGCUCAACCGGGGAGGGUCAUUGGAAACUGGGAGACUUGAGUGCAGAAGAGGAGAGUGGAAUUCCAUGUGUAGCGGUGAAAUGCGUAGAUAUAUGGAGGAGGACCAGUGGCGAAGGCGGCUCUCUGGUCUGUAACUGACGCUGAGGCUCGAAAGCGUGGGGAGCAAACAGGAUUAGAUACCCUGGUAGUCCACGCCGUAAACGAUGAGUGCUAAGUGUUGGAGGGUUUCCGCCCUUCAGUGCUGCAGCUAACGCAUUAAGCACUCCGCCUGGGGAGUACGACCGCAAGGUUGAAACUCAAAGGAAUUGACGGGGGCCCGCACAACCGGUGGAGCAUGUGGUUUAGAUCGAAGCAACGCGAAGAACCUUACCAGGUCUUGACAUCCUUUGACCACUC
Molecule: ribosomal RNA, 954 nt
Filed under: Enterococcus faecium
Lineage: Bacteria; Bacillati; Bacillota; Bacilli; Lactobacillales; Enterococcaceae
Description: bacterial SSU rRNA
Rfam family: Bacterial small subunit ribosomal RNA
Source: RNAcentral